Molecule: ribosomal RNA, 450 nt
Filed under: uncultured bacterium
Lineage: Bacteria
Description: bacterial SSU rRNA
Rfam family: Bacterial small subunit ribosomal RNA
Source: RNAcentral
GUGGGGAAUUUUGGACAAUGGGGGCAACCCUGAUCCAGCCAUGCCGCGUGCGGGAAGAAGGCCUUCGGGUUGUAAACCGCUUUUGUCAGGGAAGAAAUCCUUUGGGUUAAUACCUCGGAGGGAUGACGGUACCUGAAGAAUAAGCACCGGCUAACUACGUGCCAGCAGCCGCGGUAAUACGUAGGGUGCGAGCGUUAAUCGGAAUUACUGGGCGUAAAGCGUGCGCAGGCGGUUUUGUAAGAUCGAUGUGAAAUCCCCGGGCUCAACCUGGGAACUGCAUUGGUGACUGCAAGGCUGGAGUGCGGCAGAGGGGGAUGGAAUUCCGCGUGUAGCAGUGAAAUGCGUAGAUAUGCGGAGGAACACCGAUGGCGAAGGCAAUCCCCUGGGCCUGCACUGACGCUCAUGCACGAAAGCGUGGGGAGCAAACAGGAUUAGAUACCCUAGUAGUCC